CGUGUACUCCCUCCAUCCGAAAAUACUUGUCAUCAUAAUGAAUAAAAGGGGAUAUAUCUAGAUGUAUAUUAGUUCUUGAUACAUACAUUUUUAUUCAUUUUGAUGACAAGUAUUUUCGAGGGAGUAUAAG
Non-coding RNA from Triticum aestivum (bread wheat), 130 nucleotides. The record is from Rfam. NCBI's taxonomy places the organism in Eukaryota, Viridiplantae, Streptophyta, Magnoliopsida, Poales, Poaceae.